AUACAUUCGUACCUGUAGCAUAAUGCGUGACAUAUUGUCAUAUAUUUGUUGAAAAUUCAAUUGGAUAAUUGACUAACGGUCGGUUCCGAAAUAAUGGUAAAAGGCGUAAAGAUUUGAAACAGAUUUCCGCAGGAAAAAAAAUUGGAGAAAAUCCGGAGGCGGAGUUGUGCAAGUUAGGAACGGCUUGAACUACUAUAUUCUUUGAUUUGGUCUCACUUACGAUCGCGAAACUACGGAUUUGGUGUUCCUGUAUGUAAGCCAGUGAACUGUUACAUUAUGUUGACAUUUACAGAUAUUAAUGUUUCGAGUAUAAGCAUUUCGUCAAUCAUGGAAGGGGUAAAUAUUUGGCAAGAACACUUUCUCGAAGUAACACUCACAAGUCAUCAGGGCCUUUUUUAACAUGCCCCCCCCCCACGAAAUCACAUUUUGCCCCCCCAGGGAAAGUCCCUUUUCCCUAAAAUUAUAGAAACAAACCAGCGAAGAUUAACAAAUACAUAAAAGGAAAGUAAGUUUUAGGCUUUGUCCUUGUUUAACAAAAUCGAUUUAAAUUGUUACUUUUUUCUACCACUAAGUAAUGAUAAAUUAUUGUUAAUAAUUUUUUAUUUUUUGGAUGCUCAGAAUGCAGGAAAUAGCAUUUCCAGGUUUCAAAUUUCAAAAAUUUUCUGGGGAUUAUCCCUCUAAUAAGUAAUGAUAAAUUACAGUUAAUAUUCUUUUUUACUUUUUGUGCAGUUUUCCAUCUUUUAUUUCAAAUACAAGUAUAGUUAGCAUAAAUUUUAUAGCAAAUUUGGAUGCUCAGAAUGCAUGAAAUGGCAUUUCCGUGCUUCAAAUUUCAAAAAUUUUCUGGGGGAGUACACCCCACACACCUGACCAUUGCCAUCCUCCUCUAAUAACUAACGAUAAAUGAUGGUUAAUUUUUUAAACUUUUUGUGCGUUUUUUCCUUUAUUUAUUUCAAAUACAAGACAGUAUAGUUAGCAUAAAUUUUGGAGCAAAUUUGGAUUCUCAGAAUGCAGGAAAUGACAUUUCCGGGAUUCAAAUUUCAAAAAAUUUCUGGGGGAGUACUCCCCCAGACCACCCCCCAUUCAUGCGUGGUAUAUUGGCCACACACGUAGCCUUCAGCCAUUGCUAUCCCCCUCUAAUAUAUUAUCUCACAGAAAAGUCCCUUUUCAAACAAUGCCCCCCCACGGGAAAGUCCUUAAAAAAGGCCCUGCAAGUCAUGGUGUGAUUAAAUUUUCGAACAUGUACUCUACCUGAAGACUAUAUGUCGAACUAUGUAUACUUUGUAUUUCAUACAAUCCAAAACGAGAACGAGGACUGCAGAAUGACUUUAGAUACUUAGAAUUAGUUCUAGUAUAACAUUGUUUGUAGAUUAGAAUAAUUAUCGUUGUAAAGUUUUUUCAAAAAUAAUUAAUAAACAAUUAUUG
Paramuricea clavata is the source of this 1422-nucleotide non-coding RNA. Lineage: Eukaryota; Metazoa; Cnidaria; Anthozoa; Malacalcyonacea; Plexauridae. The record is from the annotation of a GenBank genome assembly.